GCAAGUCGAACGGAAACGAUUAAGAGCUUGCUCUUAAGGCGUCGAGUGGCGGACGGGUGAGUAAUGCUUGGGAAUCUGCCCUGUAGUGGGGGACAACCCGGGGAAACCCGGGCUAAUACCGCAUACGCCCCUUGGUUUAGUUACUAAGGGGGAAAGCGGGGGACCUUCGGGCCUCGCGCUAUUGGAUGAGCCCAAGUUGGAUUAGCUUGUUGGUGGGGUAACGGCCUACCAAGGCAACGAUCCGUAGCUGGUCUGAGAGGACGAUC
This 266-nucleotide ribosomal RNA is filed under the name uncultured bacterium. Its description in RNAcentral is "partial 16S ribosomal RNA". It matches the Rfam family "Bacterial small subunit ribosomal RNA", at positions 57 to 305 of the family's 1533-position model. The record is from RNAcentral.